UCCCCGCUCUCGAUCCCCAUGCUUACCCCGCGUGGUCGCCGCCUCUCCCCGCCCUCCUUGUCUCGCCAGAGUCGCCGCUCUCGGAGCUCCAAUCCCAGUCCCGUGCCGGAGUUCAGCCAUACGGGAGAGGAUCCAUGAUGCGGCAAUAGAGGAGACGCAACAAAGGGGGCGAGUAUUCUCCCCCCCCCCGCCCCGCCCUAGCCCUGCCGCCUCCUAUUCUAUGGCGCUGCACACGGCAGACCCAUGCCUCCCAUCUCGCGGCGCUGCAUAGCGGGGAAGCCCGCACGCUCUAGAGGGGCGUCGGCGCCGCUUGAGCGGCCUAUGCUUCCUCUCCUCUCCAAUCGCGUCUGCCUCGACCUCGGACCUCACCAUCACAAUCCGUGGCUAUCUGUGGAGGUAGCCACCGGCAAAGAUCGAGGGUGUCUCCCUGCCAUGGGUGCUCCUGCUCGUGGUGGUUGCCCACAUCCCGGCAGCGCGUGGGAGCCAGUGUCCAUGGCCAGAGCUGGACUACUUGCCCACGACCUCACCCACCGGCCCAUCUGUUCUAUUGAAAAAUGGACAUCAAAGACACUCACUCUUGAAGGUGGAGAAACAGUGCACCCUUGUCUGAGAUCAAGGAAUAUUUGGCAGUGCAUCCAAAGUUCAAUUUGGCUGCAGUGAUUUUUGAAGUUGUGCCACAAUAACUCUGAACCCCAUAAAUUCAGUAUUCAAUCUCAUGAGUUUCAUAAAUUUUUCUGUCAUUGAUUUGUAGGAUAUGUUUGCAACAGAAGCUGCAAAGAACAAGGCUGCAUACACAAGGGAAAGGAGGCAACCUUUUGAUGUACUACAGCGGCUAGGGGGUUGACUGGUAAGCAUAUGGAUGUGUUUUUCCUCAUUUGCUAUAUGUGUUCUUAUUCAAAAUUCUUAGAUCAUCCCCAUGGUUGAAAUUGUUGAAAACUCUUUAUUUCGCUUUAGUUGGAUCCUACAGGUUAAAUAAUGUACGAAACCAGGUUGUAUUUGCUAGACUAUUAGAUUCUUUAGCACUUCAUACACUAAAAUAUGUUCUGGUAUUGCAACUUGUUGUCUUAAACGAGAAGCUUCUAGCCCUGGGAUGGACAAGAAGCUUCUAACCGUCACCAGCCCAUCUGCAGGUAUGCUAGCUCCUCUUCUAUUAAUGCAAAAAGGAGAUGCUCAAAUGGAUUGAGUGGUACCCUCCUGAAAGUAUUGUAGGGAUGGACAUAUGGAUUGAUUGGUAGGCCCCUGAAAGCUACACAGAUCUGAACCAAUAACUUUAAUAAGAAUGUGUAUCCCAGCUCCUUUUAUAAUCUUGAAUCCUUCUCGGUCCUACUAAACUGUAACUCAUGUUUAUUUUUGGAAACAAUAUUUUGGACAUUCCUAACCUGGUCAAGGGAAUGUAUUGCCCACCUACAGUGAGAGACACAUACGAAGUAGGUCCUACUAAACACCUAAAAGGAUGAGUUACAGUAGGUGUGCAUAGAGUACUAACAUUUUUGCUAUCUUUAUGCUCCUCCAUAUGGAUGGGAACUAAAAGGAUGAUGAUAUUAUUCUACCUUUCAAUAUUUGGUGGCGCAUAUUUAAGAAAAUCACAGCUAAGCAUGUCACUUUGUAAAAAGACGCUUGACUAGAAUGUAUAUGUAUAUAGUUAAUAAAAUCAUAGUGACUGAUUGUUUAGUUCCUCUGUUUAGAUUAGAGGUGUCUGCAUGCAUCCAAGUGAUCGGUCUUUCCAGCUCAAAAGAGAAAGUGACCGAUGUUUUGGCAUAUUUUCCUAUUAGGAAUAAAUGGACAUGCCCAUGCACGUAUGCACACAGAUUUCAGGUUACAGCUUAAUUAGGAAACAGAUGAUACCUCAUUGUGUCGUCUUGGUCUAAGAAGAGGGGAUAUACUUGGUGAAUAUAUAUGUUCCACCCGACCGUUAAUUUCAGAGAAAAGGAUGCACUUCAGUAGCAAAAAUUUGAUUGUUAUGUACUAUCUGUAAUGCUAAGCAUUUAUUUGCUAAUAUCUCCUCAUCUGAAUUUGUAUUUUGUGCCAUUUGGCCUUUUAACUAUAUGGGCAUCUGCAGAUGGUCUGAAAACCAAGAUAUGCCACAGAUAAUAACUAUACGGGCUGCUCCAGAUGGACUAAGAAUGGAACCAUAUCCUAGGCCUACAUGCUAAUAUUGUACAGCAAUGAAUAUCUUCACUUAUUUAUACUUAAUCAGUUGUGUAAUAAUAAGCGUGAUAUUAGCUUUCGUACCCAUCUUCAUGGUUGAAAUACUUUUCUGCAAUCUGUGACACAUUUGCUUCAGUUUCCAUAUGUCUUGCUUCAUGCUAUCAACAUUGUUAAUCAUUUAUCUUUAUCUUUCUUUCCCUUUACAGCCUACUUGAAUGGAUAUGGUUCCUGAGAGACCAUUUCUUAUGCAUCAGGUCCUGAAGGUGGAUGUUGCUUGUUUAGAUAUCUAUGAUUCCAAAUUAUUCAAAACGGUUCAUGUUAUACUGGAUGCUAUUUUAUUGAGAGUGGCUUCGAACAAUAUGGCAUGAACAUAUUUGUUUUCUCUUUGGCCAAUAAUGAAAUGAUCUUUGUGCAUAUAAAAUGGUUAUCGAUACCA
Molecule: long non-coding RNA, 2584 nt
Organism: Aegilops tauschii subsp. strangulata
Lineage: Eukaryota; Viridiplantae; Streptophyta; Magnoliopsida; Poales; Poaceae
Source: RefSeq, a predicted model, not a curated record